AAUCAACGCUGGCGGCGUGCCUCAGACAUGCAAGUCGAACGCGAAAUUUCCCUUCGGGGAGAAAGUAGAGUGGCGCACGGGUGGGUAACACGUGGGUAAUUUACCUUCGGGUGGGGAAGUAACGUCUCGAAAGAGACGCUAAUACCGCAUGAUGCAGCGGCACCACAUGGUGACAGUUGUUAAAGCGGGGGAGUCGCAAGACCUCGCGCCUGAAGAGAAGCCCGCGGCAGAUUAGCUAGUUGGUAAGGUAAAUGGCUUACCAAGGCAACGAUCUGUAGCCGGCCUGAGAGGGCGGUCGGCCACACUGACACUGAAUAACGGGUCAGACUCCUACGGGAGGCAGCAGUCGGGAAUUUUGGGCAAUGGGCGAAAGCCUGACCCAGCAACGCCGCGUGAAGGAUGAAGUAUUUCGGUAUGUAAACUUCACAAGAAUGGGAAGAAUAAGUGGGGG
Molecule: ribosomal RNA, 451 nt
Filed under: uncultured bacterium
Lineage: Bacteria
Description: bacterial SSU rRNA
Rfam family: Bacterial small subunit ribosomal RNA
Source: RNAcentral